AAGUCGUAACAAGGUUUCCGUAGGUGAACCUGCGGAAGGAUCAUUAAAAAAAAAAUAAAAUUUUUAACAAUGUGAACUUGGAAGUCCUUUUCUUUAAGAGGGGGACAAAAUAAAACUUUAUAGCAGCAGAGUCAAAAAUAAAAAAUAAUGACAACUUUUAGCAACGGAUCUCUAGGUUCUC
This 181-nucleotide unclassified non-coding RNA is filed under the name fungal sp. RNAcentral's name for it is "partial internal transcribed spacer region". The stretch from base 1 to 46 matches the Rfam family "Eukaryotic small subunit ribosomal RNA", at positions 1786 to 1831 of the family's 1831-position model. Lineage: Eukaryota; Fungi. The record is from RNAcentral.